RNAcentral lists this ribosomal RNA (350 nucleotides) under uncultured eukaryote. RNAcentral's name for it is "SSU rRNA". It matches the Rfam family "Eukaryotic small subunit ribosomal RNA", at positions 594 to 945 of the family's 1831-position model. The record is from RNAcentral.
AUAGCGUAUAUUAAAGUUGUUGCAGUUAAAAAGCUCGUAGUUGAAUUUCAGGAUUGGGAUAUAUCGGUCAUGCCUUUAGGGGCAUGAAUUGGUGUGUAGCCAAUUUCUCACCUUCUGGUGAAUUGGGAUGCUCUUGGGUGUUUCAAUGAACUAGGACUUUUACUUUGAAAAAAUUAUAGUGUUUAAAGCGGGCAUUUUUGCUUGAAUAUAUUAGCAUGGAAUAAUAAAAUAGGACGAUGGUUCUAUUUUGUUGGUUUUAGGACCACGUAAUGAUUAAUAGGGAUAGUUGGGGGCAUUAGUAUUCAAUAGUCAGAGGUGAAAUUCUUGGAUUUAUUGAGGACUAACUACUG